UCGAGAAUUUUUCUCAAUGGGGGAAACCCUGAAGGAGCGACGCCGCGUGGGGGAUGAAUGGCUUCGGCCCGUAAACCCCUGUCAUUCGGGAUCAAUGCUUACCACCUAACACGUGGUGAGUUGAUAGUACCGAAAGAGGAAGGGACGGCUAACUCUGUGCCAGCAGCCGCGGUAAUACAGAGGUCCCAAGCGUUGUUCGGAUUCACUGGGCGUAAAGGGUGCGUAGGCGGUCGGCUAAGUCUGAUGUGAAAGCUCGGAGCUCAACUCCGAAAUGGCAUCGGAAACUAUCCGGCUGGAGGAAUGGAGGGGAGACUGGAAUUCUCGGUGUAGCAGUGAAAUGCGUAGAUAUCGAGAGGAACACCAGUGGCGAAGGCGAGUCUCUGGACAAUUCCUGACACUGAGGCACGAAAGCUAGGGGAGCAAACAGGAUUAGAUACCCUGGUAGUCCUAGCCGUAAACGGUGCACAUUUGCUGUGAGAGGAUUCGACCCCUUU
Molecule: ribosomal RNA, 494 nt
Filed under: uncultured Verrucomicrobiota bacterium
Lineage: Bacteria; Pseudomonadati; Verrucomicrobiota
Description: bacterial SSU rRNA
Rfam family: Bacterial small subunit ribosomal RNA
Source: RNAcentral